AUAUAUAUAAAUAAAACCGUCAAAAAGUGCAACUAGAAUCUGCGAGGUGUGGCGAAUCGUUAACUGCUUCGAGAUAUGUAAAUUAGGGGAAAAGAUAGGGGUAAUUUUGGAAAUGUAAGUUAAGGAGAGGCAGUUAAAGGACCAAAGAAGAUUUUCUGGUAACAGAGCAGAGGAAUCCAAUGAGAGACAGUAAAAUGAACGUUUAACCGCUUUAACGGUUCAGAUCUAAUGGAAUAAAGGUAUCUCAACGGCUGAGAUUGUUCCUUCUACCAGAUUGUUGGAUCGGAACAGUGAGUCAAUUAAGGACAUCCAACGGUGAAUAUUUAAUGAAUCCUUUUGGAACCAAAAACCGACGGCAGAGAUAUACUGAGUGAGUCAACUCGUUGAGUUAAUUAGUUUCUGCUUACCUCGCCGCCAUUGUUAAGUUUUCAGAGCUCUUCAACUGCACUUUUUCCACUGUCCUGUAAAAAACCAAACCAAAAUGUAGCAUUUUUAGGCUUUUUUGUUAAUCAUUGAAAAUUAAAAUGCAUAUAAUGUUCUCCCUGAAAAAGCUAAAAUUAUAAUUUCUUUGUGCAAUAUAGAGGUUAAGGAGCAGUUCAAAACCAUGUAGUUUAAGCUUUUCUGGUUAAUUCUGAGAAAAUGCUUGUGGAACUAAAACUUCUCGGAAUUCUGCAACAGCAGAGUUUCUAGAAGAGUCUAAAGGAAAACAAACAUGGAAAAUAUCACAAAAUUAAGAAAUUACGGGAAUUAGACGGAGAGUCUAACAAAGUAGAAUUCGAAGAACUCGUAAGAAAUCAUUAAAAAACAAAGCAUAGAAAAAUAUGUAAUACAAAUUUUGAUAGUAUUUUUGAAAAUGCAGAUGAAUUUUUAUCCAGAGAAGCAAAAAAAAGUACGUUGAAUUUGUGUAAUUUUACAAAAACUUCACAGUUAAAACUCUGUUGUGAAAACGUGAAUGUAGAUGCUUUAUAGAGUUAACCAGAGAGAAAAAAAAUUCGACGGACCUGACGUCGAAACUGUCGGUAGUCUGAACACCGGCGUAAACUCCGACGAGCAGCAAAAGAAGAAGCAGAGAACUGAGACUAAAUGAAAGCAACGAACCCAUUGCCAUUUUCCGCUGCACACUUUUUCUCUUUCUCUCACUACAAUGGGAUCGGAAAAAGAAACAGAGCAAAGCAGAGGAAGAAGAAGAGAGAGAGAGUCAGAGAAGAAGGUGCAC
Molecule: long non-coding RNA, 1216 nt
Filed under: Nicotiana tabacum (common tobacco)
Lineage: Eukaryota; Viridiplantae; Streptophyta; Magnoliopsida; Solanales; Solanaceae
Description: long non-coding RNA (NTAB_LNC018059)
Source: RNAcentral